Molecule: long non-coding RNA, 3104 nt
Organism: Ictalurus punctatus (channel catfish)
Lineage: Eukaryota; Metazoa; Chordata; Actinopteri; Siluriformes; Ictaluridae
Source: Ensembl
GCCUACGUGUGCAGACUCCGUCUCGGAGUCGAAUGCAUCUAAUGUAGUUAAAACGCUGUUUCUAUGGUAACGUCUUUACAAACCCGACGCUCGACCGGAAACUAAAGCGCGGCGUUAAUUACCGUACUGUAUCGAUAAGAAUGUUUUUUAAAAUGCUGUAAAUGUUCAAAACGGCCUUUCAGGAGAGGAUGAGAGUGGAGUCAUGGAGGAGGAUUUGUCGGUGCGUUUUACACGUUGCGGAGGAACGUUCCGGACGGGGACUUUUCAGACGGACCGAGUAGAGGUCUCGCAGCCGAGUCGUUACCCGUGCUGUUUUUUUAAAAUUAUUAUUAUUAUUAUUCUAAUAGAAGACGAUACGGACGGAAACGAAGGAUAAAAAGAGAGAGCCCCCGAGCCCGGCUCCGGCCUCCGCCUCUCAACGAGGGCAAAAAAAAUUGAAACUUUUUUUUUUUUUUGUAUUUUUUUUUGCAUGCGUAAAAAAGAAAUGAUUACAACGAUAAUGUCGAAACAAGCGCAGCGUGAGGCGGCGGUUUCAGCGCCGUGACCUGUCGUCCGUCCGCGUGAGGAGAAAGGAGAAAGGGGAGGAUUUGAAAGCCGGCCGAGGUCGAGGCCGUCCAGCUGCUCGCGUGAACCUGAGAACCUUACCAAAGUCCAGCGACUCCCCUGUUGUCAUGGUAACCGUGAGCCGGGCCUUCACUGCCGCUCUUGUUGAAGUGUUUGGGAUAAAUCUCUCUCUCGCUCUCUCCCGCGUAUCUGACCGCUCAUUACACAGAAAGCAGGUGAAGAUGUUUUAGAGAUCUGCGAUGACUGCUUUCUUUUUAUAGUUUUUUUUUUUUUAUUUAUUAAAAAAUAUAUAUAUGUAUUUAUUUUUAUCCCUCCUGUUAUUAUGUUACGGGUCACCGUGACCCAUUUCCACAUUUGAGGCGUCUGAAAUGCGGUUAAUCUCUCACUUUCUCUUUGAACUAUUUCGACGUUCCUCAUUUAGGGUCAUGAACUGGUAUGAAAUAUUUCUCCUGAGGAAAGCGGUUAUAAAGGUUUACUGUUUUAAGCCGUUCUUUGCUGUUUAUUAUGUCAGUUUGACCCCUAACAUAAUGGAUGUAACUAUCCCCCCCCCCCCCCCCCCCCCCCCCCCCUUCCAACGUAAUAUGAGGGUUAAAUGGCACUGAUUUACCGGUUACCGUAGCAACUGUAAGAAAACUUGCUGACUCUAUUGUACAGUACGGGCCCGAAGGGAGACGGCCGUCCUGACGCUGCCUUUUUUGGAUUGUGUUUUUUUCGAACGAAACACACCGGGAUGGUGACGAGAACUCUGGGAUAUCUGCUGUAGCCUGUUUACUCAGAAAUCCCACUGACGCCAACUGAAAUCAGACCUAAUCUCACCCACACACACACACUGUACUCUGCAUCGUCUGCUUCAGCUCUCUGUGUGUGUGUGUGUGUGUGUGUGUGUGUGUGUGUUUCAGGAAUGUGUACUCUCACCCACACACACUAUAUUCUGCAUCUUUCUCACCACUAAGCACUCUGCCUCUGGUGUGUGUGAGACAGAGAGGAUUUGUGGUUUAACACACACUGUGAUGUGUGUGUGUGUGUGUGUGUGUGUGUGUGUGUGUGUGUGUGUGUUCAGCACACAUCAGGAACGUGCACGGCUAUGCAAACUCUGGAAACUUGAUUUUUCUUGGGGUACAAUCAUAAAUGAACGUCAAGGUUGUUUAAAAAAAAAAAAAAGUCCCUGAAAUCCCAGGAGUGUGUGUGCUGAUGAUGUCAGUUUUAGUCAUAUCAAGUACACACACACACGCGCGCACACACACACACAGACGAGGACGUUAAAAAAAAAAAUAGAAAAACUUACUGUGGCAUAAUGUGCCAAAACAUCGACCAAGCAACACCAGGUCUCUCACACACUUAUCUUAUCAGAAGGACAAAACAGUAAUGCAGAGCAGAGAACAACGCUGUAGUGGUAUUUCUGGCUCACUGCUGUAGCGCGUCACGCCUCAUUAACUGGGUUAUUCUGAAAGGAUUUAUAUGGGAAAAGUCUUCAAAGUAUCCGAUGUGAAACAUUGUGUUUAGGAAGGCGGGGAGACUGAAUAACAGCAGGUUAAAGGCAUUGGGAGGAAAGGUAUGAAGGCAGCAGGACAGAAGGGCAGCAAGGAAGAAAAGUAGAAAGGCAGCAAGGAAGAAAGGCAGCAGGGCAGAAUGGCAGGAGGAGGAAAGGUGGAAAGGCAGCAGAACAGAAUGGCAGUAGGAAGAAAGGUAGAAAGGCAGCAGGGCAGAAUGGCAGUAGGAAGAAAGGCAGCAGGGCAGAAUGGCAGUAGGAAGAAAGGCAGCAGGGCAGAAUGGCAGUUGGAAGAAAGGUAGAAAGGCUUCAGGGCAGAAUGGCAGUAGGAAGAAAGGUAGCAGGGCAGAAUGGCAGUAGGAGGAAAGGUAGAAAGGCUUCAGGGCAGAAUGGCAGUAGGAGGAAAGGUAGAAAGGCAGCAGGGCAGAAUGGCAGUAGGAGGAAAGGUGGAAUGGCAGCAGGGCAGAAUGGCAGUAGGAGGAAAGGUAGAAAGGCUUCAGGGCAGAAUGGCAGUAGGAGGAAAGGUAGAAAGGCAGCAGGGCAGAAUGGCAGUAGGAGGAAAGGUGGAAUGGCAGCAGGGCAGAACGGCAGAAAGGCAGCAGGAGUCUGGGUUCUAUAUAUAUUUAUUAUUAUUAUAAUUUUUGUCCUCGGAUUAUUAGAAAACCUCUAUAUAUAAACCUUGGAACUUGGCCGAAUCUUGCUGACACUGAAAUAUUUCUCCAACACAAACUUUUUUUUUUAAAUAAUCGAGUCGAUAAUCUUUUCUUUCCCCCCCGUCUCCAGUCUCGGAUGCGGACAGUUCGGACGGCCUGCAAUUGAAGAAGGACCAUGCCUUAAGAGUUUUCAACUACAUCGGCACAUGGACACAGAGGUCGGGUUCUUCUUUCGCUCAUCAUUUAUUCAUAGUUUAUUUAUUAUUUAUUCACCCAUUCAGUGUUAUGUAUAAUAUAUACACACGGCAUUGAUUUUCUCCGCGCUGACCCGCAGGUAAAGGUCCUGUAGAGUUUCACGUUCUAAGGUGUUCUGCACCGUCGUAUAGAUAAUAACAUGC